RNAcentral lists this long non-coding RNA (221 nucleotides) under Solanum tuberosum (potato). RNAcentral's name for it is "long non-coding RNA (STUB_LNC011374)". The record is from RNAcentral. Lineage: Eukaryota; Viridiplantae; Streptophyta; Magnoliopsida; Solanales; Solanaceae.
UAGAACCUAAAUGUAAAAUUAUUCAUUAAUUUUAUAAAGUGAAUAAGUAUUGUUGGAUAUCUUAAAAUAAUAUAAUGAACAACUAUUAUAGGACGGAGUGAGUAUCAAAUAGAGAAAGUACUUUCUAAUAUGCUCUUUCUACACUUCUUUUCCUUCUCUUUUUGCAUUGGGCAACAGCAUAAUACCAUCCUAUAAAGUAACUUUUUCCUUUUUCUUUUCUC